CUUCAUUACCCAUUCAAGCCAUCUCCAACCAUUAUUAAAAGAGGUUUGUUGGUUUUUAUUGUAUAUUAAACCUGGCAGUCAAGAAUUAGAUGGUGAAAAUUACAAUUAUCAUACCUGCCUCAUCUACAACAGUGUCAUCCCAGUUGUUCUCGCAUGUUUAGAUUACAUUUUAUUAUAAAUUAGUUUAUUUUCAGUAUAUUUGUGGUAUUGUGUGUUGAAGUAGAUAUUUAAAUCAUGAUUGUAUAAAUCAUUUGUGUCAAAGCCCUUAAACAUAAUGGGUAGGUACACAUUAUGUAUAAAUCAUUUGUGUGAACAAAGCCCUUAAACAUAAUGGUUAGGUACACAUUAUGUAUAAAUCAUUUGUGUGAACAAAGCCCUUAAACAUAAUGGGUAGGUACACAUUAUGUAUAAAUCAUUUGUGUGACCAAAGCCCUUAAACAUAAUGGUUAGGUACACAUUAUGUAUAAAUCAUUUGUGUGAACAAAGCCCUUAAACAUAAUGGGUAGGUACACAUUAUGUAUAAAUCAUUUGUGUGAACAAAGCCCUUAAACAUAAUGGGUAGGUACACAUUAUGUAUAAAUCAUUUGUGUGAACAAAGCCCUUAAACAUAAUGGGUAGGUACACAUUAUCGUAUAUCUAAUUCUUUCACAUUAUAUUCAGUUCAAAGUUUCUAAUAAAAGUAAGUAUCCAGCUAAUUAUUAAGAAGUAGAAAAUAUUAAGUCAAUCUGCAGGUCGUGGGUUCGAAUCUCCCAUCAUCAAACAUGCUCACCCUUUCAGCUGUGGGGCAUUAUAAUGUCAUGGUCAAUCUUACUAUUUGUUGGUAAAAAGAGUAGCCCAAGAAUUGGUGGUGGGUGGUAUUGACUAACUGCCUUCCCUAUAGUCUAUCACUGCUAUAUUAUGGACAUCUAAUGCAGGUAACUCUCGUGUAGCUUUGUGCAAAAUUCAAAACAAACCAAACCUUGUGAGUAAAGAGUCUUGUACCACCAAGAGAAAGAAUUACCCAUUCAAACUUUACCAAUUUAAAGUUUCAGAUAAAUAAAAUAUUAAAACUUGUCUUUUAGUUUUCAAUGUGUAUCUAAAAAUGAACCUGACACUGAAAGAGUUAUCUAUGAAUAUCACAGCAACAGUCAGAAGACUCGUAACUAA
This is a long non-coding RNA of Limulus polyphemus (Atlantic horseshoe crab), 1146 nucleotides long. RefSeq lists it as uncharacterized. The record is from RefSeq and is a predicted model, not a curated record. Lineage: Eukaryota; Metazoa; Arthropoda; Merostomata; Xiphosura; Limulidae. The transcript is spliced from 2 exons.